GUGCUCGCUUCGGCAGCACAGAUACUAAAACUGGAACGAUACAGAGAAGAUUAGCACAGCCCCUGCGCAAGGAUGACAUGCAAAUUCGUGAAGCGUUCCACAUUUUU
Molecule: small nuclear RNA, 107 nt
Filed under: Nannospalax galili (Upper Galilee mountains blind mole rat)
Lineage: Eukaryota; Metazoa; Chordata; Mammalia; Rodentia; Spalacidae
Source: RNAcentral